GGAGGCGUGCCAGAGCGGCCGAAUGGGACUCACUGCUAAUGAGUUGACUUUUUAACGAAGGUCCGGAGGUUCAAAUCCUCUCGCCUCCGCCA
Molecule: transfer RNA, 92 nt
Filed under: Candidatus Corynebacterium avicola
Lineage: Bacteria; Bacillati; Actinomycetota; Actinomycetes; Mycobacteriales; Corynebacteriaceae
Description: tRNA-Ser
Rfam family: tRNA
About the family: Transfer RNA (tRNA) molecules are approximately 80 nucleotides in length.
Source: RNAcentral